Gallus gallus (chicken) is the source of this 56-nucleotide microRNA precursor. Lineage: Eukaryota; Metazoa; Chordata; Aves; Galliformes; Phasianidae. The record is from Ensembl.
UAGUUCAGCUGUCUGUGAAUGAGGGCAGAGACCUCAUCAGAGAGGCUGGGCUCUGU